Apis cerana (Asiatic honeybee) is the source of this 7123-nucleotide long non-coding RNA. RefSeq lists it as uncharacterized. Lineage: Eukaryota; Metazoa; Arthropoda; Insecta; Hymenoptera; Apidae. The record is from RefSeq and is a predicted model, not a curated record.
UGAAGAAUUAAUUCAUUAAGCAUUAGGCAUUUAUUGUAUCUUCAAAUUGUUUCUAAAUAUAUGAUACAUUAUUAUGCAUUUUAAAGAAAAUGUUUCGUAAAAUAUAAACUUAUAUCAAACAAAAAGAUUAAAAUGAACUUUUAUUAUAUUAAUAAUUUGGUUAUAUGAACCAACUCCCGACAGGUUCAUAAUCAUAAUUUACGAGACGUAUCUAUGAAACUCGAUCAUACAACGAGAAUACCACGAAAAGACGUUUAGUUUAAUGCGUUAAUUAGUAGUUUAAUGCGCAAUUGUGUCGUAACAGAUACCUAUUUCAAAUAGUCUCUUUAUCUCACGCAUGAUUGCUCGCCAUGCAAUGACAGCAUCAAUGACAACGAGUCAUCAUGGUGUUAUAUAGUGGCAAUAAAGCAGCUCAUUAUUAUUAUUUCCAUCGUAAGGAUCAAAGGCGUCUGAACGAUGUGCUUCAUAGCACGAUAAUUGGUUAGCGUGAGCAUCGAUAUCGGCAAUGACAUGCACGUGCUUGAUUACGCGAAAGGAUAACGUCCAAUUAAACGGCUCUCAGAAAUCCAACACCAAUUUACUAACGAAAAUAUUCAUUUGUCUGAUCGCCGACGUUGCAUCUCUGAGUCUUGAUCCUUGCUCUUGUCGAGAGAGCAAUUGGAAAGUUAUUAUUAACUGAAAUUGUUAUUCAUUAAUGUUAAUAUUUAUUGCUAUCAUUUUCUUAUUUAAAUAUAAUAAAAUCGAUAAAAUUUAUUUUAAAUAAUAGUUUAAUAAUAAUUUAAAAAUAAUAUUUUCCAUAAUAUUAUAAUUUAAUAAUAUCUCAUAUAUUUCAAUUGUUUAUUUGGUUUUUAUGGUAUUAAUAAAUUGAAGAAUUGAUUAUUUAAAAAAAUUUAUUUUAUAAUUGCAAAUUUGUUUUUUAAAUAAAAUUACAUAAAACAUAUAUACAUUAAAACAUAUAUAUUAAAUAUAUAAUGAUUAAUAAUAAUAUGUAGUAAUAAUAAUAUGUAUAAUAAUAGUAUUAAUAGAUAUUAAUAAUGAUAUUAAUAAUAAAUAUAAAAUAGUAUUAGUAACAAAUAUUAAUAAUAUAUCCGAAUAUUUGACGAUGCAUUUAAAAAAACAUUUAUUUUCAUAAAUUAAAUAUAAAUAUAAAUAAUAAUAUUUUUAUUAUUAUAAAGCAAAUAAUAAAUAAUUUUGAAAAGUAAUUCUAAAGUAAUGCAAUUUAAUAAUUUUUUAAAAGACUCAAAAUUUUUCGAAAGAUUUAUUCUCAUUUUUAAUUAAUUCUGUAGUAAUUCUAUAGUAAAUAAAUUUGAAUACAAUUUAUAAGAUAAAAAGAACUAAAAUAAUAAAUAAUAUCUUAAAAUUAAUUAAAUUAUUAUAAUAUUUUAUUUUAAAAAAUUGAAUAAUAUUUUAUUUUUAAAUAUUUUUAUUUGACGUAUGUAAUGUAAAAAAAAUUAAUUUAUGAUUACGAAAUUAUCACGAAUGAUUAUGAAAUUAUCAUAUUUUAUACAUUAUUUUUAAAUAAUUUUUUAUUAAUUUAUUCAAAUAAAAUAAUAAAUAAUUCGAUUAAAAAUUUUAAUAAAAUCAUAUCUGAAUAAUUUUUAUUUUGAUCACAAUAAAUUAUCAAAGAAAAUUAUCUUAAAAUUAUUAUAAAUUAUAAAUUAUCUUAGAAUUUAUUAAUUUAUUUUUAUAAUGUGAUUAUAUUUUUCAAAAUUGUUCUCGUUUUAAACUAUUUAUCAAAAAAAUUUCUAUAUUAUGAUAAAUCUACUAUAAAAGUAGUAAAAGUAAUAAAGAUAAUUACAUCAUUAUAAUUAAAAUAUAAUAAAUAUAUGUUGAUUUUGUGACAAAUUUGUAUUUCUAUUACAAUAUUACCUAUCUACAGUGUUGAUACAAGAGAAAGUUAUUUGAAAAAUUUGAAAAAUUAUCUGUAAAUUAAAAUAGAAAAUAAAUAAAAUAAGAAAUGAUUUUAUGAGACGCAAAUAAAGAAAUAAUUAAAAAAAAAAGUAUACUACUCAAGCAAACGCGUGAUUUGAAAUAAUAUAUAAAUAAAACAAUACGAUAAUAAUAUUUUAUUUUAAUAAUUAUUAUUUUUCGAAAUAAUUAAUUAUUUUAUUUUAUAAAUUAUUAUAGUAUCGAAUAAUAAAAUAUUAAUAUAAAUAAUAUUAUUAUAAAUAAUGAAUUAAAAUUUUUUAAUUAAAACAUAAAUAUAAAUUUGCGAAUAAUAAAAUGAUAUCUUGUUUUUUAUAUUUAAAAAUUAUAUUUUUUCACAAUUUUUGGCUUCGUCUGUCGUAUUAAAUUAACAUAAACAAUAUUAAUAAUUAUCAAGGAGUUUAAAAAAAAAUUAUAUUUAUGCUACAAAGAUAAAUACAUCAAAGAAUGCGAAAAGAAAGAAGACUCUAAGAAAAAAAAUUAAUUAAAAAAUUUCUAAAAGAAUGAAAAUUACAAAAAAAAAGUUUAUUUUAUUAUUUCAAGCAAUUUCCAGAAAAUUUCCACAUUCUUUGGUUAGAAGAAAAAAAAAGAAAAAAAUCGAAAUCACAAAAGAAAUUCACAUGUUUUACAAUUUUAAUCAAUUCCUAUCCAGAAAAUUCCUAUAUUCCUUCAUCGGACAAUUCACCACAUUCUCUUGAAGCGACAAAUACGAAUUUCGUCAAGAAUGUCACUGAACAUUUAAACAAGACAAAGAUGUGUCCAAAUUGUACAAUAAACAUUUUUAACUAGCAUUAUGAUGAUAUGAGCACAUGCAAAGGAACACCCUGUAUAAAACGAGGCGCAGAGGCAUGCCAGGCAAUGCGAUGAGAAGAAGAAGGAGGGAAGAAGGUGGAGAGUUAAUUGAAUCCGAGCAGCGUAUAAGUGGAAUGGCCUAUUCCUCCUCUGGUUCGCUCCUCUUAUUCUUCUUUCUUCCCGCGUGCCUCUUCUCCUCCCAUGCCCUUCUUCUUUCUUCUACCGUGUCUCCUUUGCCUUGUCUCGCGCCGUCCUUCGUAGCUCCUUGUACCCCCUUCGGGGUAUCGAGGUGGAUCGGUAGGUGGAAAGACGCCGGAGGAUGGAGGGAGGAAGCAUUCCUUUGUCUCUGCGCGCACGGACCUAGAUCAUAUAGUAUAUAAUGUAUAUAAUGUGCAUAAGAAUGUACUACUAUGUAAGGACUUGACUGCAUUACACGUGCUUCUGCAAGUGUUGGUUGAGACUGAGAUCAUGUAACUCGUUUAAGUAAAUUUAUGAGAAAUUUUUAGUAUAAGUUAGAUUUAAACUAUUUUUAAACUUUGUAUUGCAGAAAAUUUAGUUUGUUGAAUGAAUCUUUAUCUAAUUUUUAGUACAGAAUUAGAUUUAAACUAUCUUAAUUGAAAUUUAAUUUAUAAAUUUAAUUUAAUUUAUAGAAAAAAGAUAUAACUUUUAAAAUAAAUUAGAUUUAAAUUAUCUUAAUUAAGUUUAUUGUAAAUUUAAUUCGUAAAGCUUAGUUAGUUCUAAAAACUUGAUUUAUUUUUUAGUAUGAAUUUAAUUAAAUUCAUACUAAAAAUAAAUAUUAAUAUAAUAUAAUUAAUAUUAUUAUAAUUUUUAAAUAAAUUAUUUAUUAAUUACUUACUUGAUUACUUUAAAGUUAAAAUUUAUAUUAUGGUUAGAGACAAUUUAAAACUUAAUUUAAUUUUUAUUAUAAGAUUUAAAAAAUUUUUAUUAAGUUUUAUAUUGUGGAAGAUUUAUAGGAUAAAACUUUUUAAUUAGACAUUAAAUAAUGAUUAUGAACUAAAAAGUUAAAUUUUUUUUUUUUUUUUGAGUAUGUAGAGUCUAGAAGUAAUAAAGAUAAUAAAAGGAUAGUUAAAAGUAAUAAGGAUAAUAAAAUUUCUUUUGCAUGAAAUGCAUAAAUAAAACUUAUAUAAUUAAAGAUAAAUGUUUUUAAAAAGAAAUUAUGUAUCAAAUUGAAAAAAAAAUUCACAUAAAGAUAUAUCUAUUAGAAUUCAUCUCAAUAGAGAUUUAAUUUAAUUUACUAUUAGUAGAUUUCAAUCACUCUCAAUAUAAAUUUCUAUCAUAUAUUAUCUAUAUUAAAUCAUAUCACGAUAUUCUUAAUAUAACUUUUUGUUUGCAUUAAUUUAUUUAUCCUUUUGCAAAAUAUUCCAUAUAUUUAUACAUAAAAGAAUUUUCUCUCUUAUUUUUUUGCAGAUAUCUUAACUUAAUUUUUAUAUGGAUUAGAUUUUCUUUUUUAUUGAAAAAUCAUAUUAAAGCAAUAUGUAAGUUACGUUCAUCAAGUAUGCACGAGCACCAUACUGCGACAUAAUAAAAAUGUAUCUAUGGAUGUGACUUUAAAAUAAUAUUCUCACUAGCAUUCUCUCAAGAAGAAUCUAAAGGAAGUUCUAUUCACUUGAUAUAUGAUAAACUACGUUGCGAAUUAGAUUCGAAUUUUUAAUCAUAUGUCUAACAAGUCUAGAUUCUAAGUUUUAAAUUCUGAGAAAAUUAUAUUGACAAUUAAUAAUAUAGUUGUAAAGUUAUCAAAAUAUGUCAAGUCUUUUAAUCUUAAAAGAUCCAAUUAAUAGGAUUAAUAUUAAAAUUUCAAAAUUUAUUAUAGACUAACUAUAAAGAUUUAAUUCCUUUUUUAUGCUAUUCGUUAGCAAUAAUGACAGUUUCUUCAUAUCAUAUUUUCUCAUAUUUUACAAAUAAUAAUAUUUGAGUUUUACAAGUUUAAUAUAUGAAUUUAUGAAUACUCAUAAAUUUAUUUAAAAAUUCUUGAUAUAAGGAAAAUCUCUAAAGAAUAAAAUCUCUAAAGAAUAGGAAUUCGGAAUUAAUAUAUAUUAUUAGUCAUACAAAAAUAUAUGUAAUAUUGAAUAUAACAUCAAACUGCUAUAACGUCAAAAUUAACGAAUAUAUAAGAAUCAUAAAAAUUCGAAGAUCAUACACACUAUGUUUACAAGUAUUAUAAUAAAAAUUAUAUUGAUUCAAAAUAGAUUAAUAAUAAGUAUAUCGAUACCGAUUCUUUUCAAGAUAUAUUUAAAAAGAUUGGAAACAAUUGAAUAAAUAUUAUUUUGUAAUUUCUUUUAAUAAUCAUAGAUAUGUCCAUAAUUUUAUGAUUUUUUGUUGUAAGAAGUAAGUAAGAAUCGAUACUGCUUGAGAAGCAUCAUAGCUUUGCUAUCUUCGCUUCAACUUCUCCAUCGUCAAAAAUCUACCCGGUUUUGAGAAUGUCGAGAAUGAUUUUUGUCGAUGACAGUGGUGCUGGCUUCUCGCCGCGGGUGCCCACGGUUCAAGUAUCCCUCGUUCACGCACUCCGCGUAUUUGCGUACCCCGAAAUAGCCGUACCUUCCCUGCUCCACGAGACGGCCCGGUGGACGAGGAUGAGGACUUGGAAGAGGUGGACCAGUAGGGAGUUGGGGCGAGGGAGUGGGAACGGAGCGUGUAUACCGCAAAACCAGUUCGCUGAAAUGAAAUUUUAUAGUCCGGCGUCACGGAGCGGGAGGGGCACCUGCGUCACCGAACAUACAUGGGAGCUGGUAUACAUCGGGCGCCCGAUCCCUUGACUACGCUCCUGCCAGGACAAAUGCCUUGACUGCGUGGAUCAUUCCGUGAGUCUCUUUGAAUAUCGCAAUAGGAUAUCAUCAUUCACGCGAUUCUAUCAUAAUAUUUUUUUGAAAAUACAAUUAUCCAACUAUCUUUUAUCAUAGAUUCAACCUUUUUAAUAUGAUAAGUCGAGACAGUGUGUUUUGAUAUAAAAUAAAACAGUGAGCAAAAGUUGUAAAUAUUAGAUAUUUCGGAAAUUCGAAGAUCCGCAAAAGUACCGAAGCAUGAAGAUCCUUAAAUUAUGAAAGAAGUGUUACUGAGAAAUCUGACGAUUAUUUUCUCCGAAAUCGUUCUCGGUUUCCAGCACGGUCUCGAGCGAGAAGACCCAGCGGGUGGCUCGCGUCACGAGAAUGCAGCUCAUAGCGGCGAAGCUCAUUACGUUGGCGUGUGCGUAAGAACUUUGUACACGCGAUGUAAUCGCGCUGAUGAAACUGACGCGUCGAACGACGCGCUAUACGGCUCGUCAAAUUAGUGAAAAACUCGUUUGUCUCUGUAUUGUUAGACAAAGAAAAAAAAAACAAAACAAAAAAGAAAAAGAAAGAAUAUAAAAUAAAUAAAUGAAAUUCAUUAACAGCAACAAAAAAUCUCAAACAUAUUCGCAGAAGCAUUCUUCGGAAUAAAAGAAUAUGAGGAUAAAAAAAUAGUAGAAUAUUUCGAUUAUUUAUCUUGAAGCAAGAAAAGUGUUGGUUUAAAUCGCGUAGGAAGAUCGGUCUGAGAUUACGUCGCAUACGGCAGCCGCUCAAGUGUCGCAGUUGCACGUCGUUAAUGCGAGGCAGGUGCUAACGCGGAGAGAAAGAAACGAUAGAGAGAAGGUGAAGGAGAAAGAUGCGCUCGGAUCCCGUCCUCCCCCUAAUUGACAAAUUGGAAUCUUAUUAGAAGCUCGUGAUGCCGGAGGUACCCGAGGCAGGAGAAGCCUCGAGGGAUCCUUUAAUGAUCCUGCUCUCUCUGCGCGCUGUUUCACUUUUUCGUUCUCCUCGGAUUAUUAAUCCAACGACGAUCCAAGAAGAUCCGUGGCGUUUGCAGAGAUUAUAGGUUAAGAGUACGGGCAAAGUGCUGCUACAUUAACAAGCAUCAAUAGGUCGACAGGACGAAGAAGUAAUGGAAUCAUAAAAUGUGAUUUCGAGAUCACGCUUCGUUCUCCUUUAUCUAUCUGAUUGAUAAAGUAAUGAAACGGAUGAGUAUAUGCAAGUGAUUUUAAAAAAAUUCACCCGUAGGCGAUCUGUCAAAUUGAUUUUAACUUUGGCUUCUUUGGAUUUUUCGCAAUUAUUUAUAUACUGUUAUUUUAAUAUUAUUUGAAAUUUAAUUUUUUUUAGUUAUUGAUUUGUUUAAAUUAUUGCAAAUUACUAAAAAGAAAUUCAAAAUAGAGAUAAUAUUCUUUUAAAUAAAAAUAUUUUCUAUCUUUUAAAAUUAUAAUUCAUAAUUAGUAAAUUAUUGCAAAAUAGAUAUUGACAAAUUUUGAUAAAAUUUUGCUAUAAAAAUUAAAAUAUUAAAAUUAAAUUAUAUGUAUGUGCUUUAUAUAUAUCUUAUUGUAAUAUUAUAUUUUUUUGCCUUUUUUUAUUAUUAUAAAUAAAUAAGAAAAAGUAUAAUGUUA